This 254-nucleotide ribosomal RNA is filed under the name uncultured bacterium. RNAcentral's name for it is "partial 16S ribosomal RNA". It matches the Rfam family "Bacterial small subunit ribosomal RNA", at positions 524 to 776 of the family's 1533-position model. The record is from RNAcentral.
UACGGGGGGAGCAAGCGUUGUUCGGAUUUACUGGGCGUAAAGGGCGCGUAGGCGGUCGUGACAAGUCACUUGUGAAAUCUCCGGGCUUAACUCGGAACGGUCAAGUGAUACUGUCGGACUAGAGUACAGAAGGGGCAACUGGGAUUCUCGGUGUAGCGGUGAAAUGCGUAGAUAUCAAGAGGAACACCUGAGGUGAAGACGGGUUGCUGGGCUGAUACUGACGCUGAGGCGCGAAAGCUAGGGUAGCAAACGGG